GCAGCCCGGCCCGUCUGCGGAGGGCCCUGGCCUCGAGGGGGCCCUGCGGAGCCGCCUCUGCCCCUGGCCCGCCCUCCGCAGCCUGUUCAGCCGCGGGGCCACGAGGCUGAUGGAGGCACAGCGGUGGCCUCACCCGGACAGGGCACUGGCUGGCCUGUGACGACGGGAAGGACUAACUCUCAGGAUUGAAAGGGACCUUCUGGGUCAUCUGUUCAAACCUCUCACCCUGUUAUGGAAGAGGAACAGGAUUGGGUUUUGUCAUUCUCCCCACCUCCAGUGAAGACUAGUGGCAGAGACAAAGAAAUGAACAGUUACAAUACAGUGUCAAGAUAGAGGUAAGACUCCGCCCUCCGUGACCUUCUCUGAGUUCCAAAGGGCAGAUCUGAACAGCUGCUAAUCAAGGGAGGAGCAGCCAAGAGACCACCUGAGGCAAGAUUAAAGGGAUCAGAGAAGCUCAUCAAGAUUAGGAGACCUCACCACCUGAGACCCAGCACAGACCCUCAUCUUGUC
Molecule: long non-coding RNA, 510 nt
Organism: Hippopotamus amphibius kiboko
Lineage: Eukaryota; Metazoa; Chordata; Mammalia; Artiodactyla; Hippopotamidae
Exons: 3
Source: RefSeq, a predicted model, not a curated record